GCUCUUUAGUUAGUCAUACUUCCACUCAAUAAUGUAUUCUCAUUAUUUGGUUCUUUGCAUGCUACUGAUGACUUGACUUUGCCUGGUCCAUAUGUAACUUCUCCACUGGCUCCGCCUACCGGAUCAAGAACAAAGAAGGUGACCAGAAAAAGGCAAAAGCCAAGCAUCAUUUCACAUUUUCCGAUUUUAAAGAGACUAUCGAUUGAGGCGCAAACCAAAGCUACCAGCGCCUCGACCAGUCAUCUGGGGCGGACUCCCCCGAUUGACUUGGCCCUGACUCCAAUUAGAGAUCCUGCCUCGAGCGCAUCCGAAGAAGAUCCAUAGCUCAGGGGAAGUGAAACUUCAAUACCAAUUCCGAAUGAUGAUCCGUGGGCGGCGAUAAAACCUCUUCUCCAGGCUACAAGCGCUUAGGUAGCUGCCGCUGAGGCUAACCACCACAAGAAGCUUGAAGCCAAGAGGGAGAAAAUUGAACGCCUUGAAUCCUCCUGCAACAGCAAGGAAAAGCUUCAUCCUGACGCAAUGAAGAAGGUUAACAACGAUGUCAAGUUUCAGGAGAGACUCAGGAAUCAAGCGAACACUGCUCGAGCUAAAAAGAAGGCGAUGAUGGCUGAAAGGGAUGCUGCGGUUCUGGCUCUUCAAGAGCUAAAAGAGCAGACCCUCGAUCUCAUGUCACAAGCAGCCUCUGCAAGUGCUGCCACAUUGCUAGGUAUUCUCAAGAGCUAUAACCCCAUGCUCGAUACCUCAUUGGUGGUAGUCGGGUUCAAUUGCACUAGCAAGGAAGUCGCAAAACUGGUCGCAAGCGUCCAGCCGGUAG
Molecule: long non-coding RNA, 814 nt
Organism: Phragmites australis (common reed)
Lineage: Eukaryota; Viridiplantae; Streptophyta; Magnoliopsida; Poales; Poaceae
Exons: 3
Source: RefSeq, a predicted model, not a curated record